RNAcentral lists this ribosomal RNA (274 nucleotides) under uncultured bacterium. Its description in RNAcentral is "partial 16S ribosomal RNA". It matches the Rfam family "Bacterial small subunit ribosomal RNA", at positions 523 to 796 of the family's 1533-position model. The record is from RNAcentral.
AUACGGAGGGUGCAAGCGUUGUUCGGAAUUACUGGGCGUAAGGCGCGCGUAGGUGGUCUGUUAUGUCAGAUGUGAAAGUCCACGGCUCAACCGUGGAAGUGCAUUUGAAACUGGCAGACUUGAGUACUGGAGGGGGUAGUGGAAUUCCCGGUGUAGAGGUGAAAUUCGUAGAUAUCGGGAGGAAUACCGGUGGCGAAGGCGACUACCUGGCCAGAUACUGACACUGAGGUGCGAAAGCGUGGGGAGCGAACAGGAUUAGAAACCCCAGUAGUCC